This is a long non-coding RNA of Ipomoea nil (Japanese morning glory), 1248 nucleotides long. RefSeq lists it as uncharacterized. Lineage: Eukaryota; Viridiplantae; Streptophyta; Magnoliopsida; Solanales; Convolvulaceae. The record is from RefSeq and is a predicted model, not a curated record. The transcript is spliced from 7 exons.
UCCAACACUCUCCGCCGUCGCUCCUCACCACAGACCGCAACUCCGCCGUCGCUCCUCACCACAGACCGCAACUCCGCCGUCGACACCGCCUCUCUCACCACGAUUCCCUCAGCCCCGAUCAAACGCCGCUGCCGACACCAAGCUAAGGAUUCAAGCGCCACUCUCAUCAGCCACCCAUGACGCCCCUCUUCUUCUCAUUAGCUACCGGUGACUAGACCCAGCUGAAAACGACGCCUCCAAGUACUGUCGACGACGCCUGCCACGUACUGUCGACGACGCCUGCCACUGACGUCGCCACCGCCACUGUGGUUCUCAGCCGCCGCUGCCGGUUCCACUAUUGCUAAUACGAUAAGUUUUUUAGUAUAUAAACUACAAUUAGCUCUGUUUAGACAGAGAUUGCUGAUAUCUGUUUUCAUUUUGAGCAGAUGAUAGCUGUUUCGGACUAGGUUUCAACCUGGGAAUUGAAGUAACUUGUGGAACUUAAUCUUGGUGUGAGAAAGAUGAACCAUACUAGUCAGGGUCAACAAUAGCCUGAAGGAAGACACGAUGAUGAUACUGCCAUCGCUGACUUCCUCACUUCAUUGAUGGAUUAUACUCCCACAAUUCCUGAUGAAUUAGUGGAGCAUUACUUGGCUAAAAGCGGGUUCCAAUGUCCUGAUGUUCGAUUAUAGGUACUUUGGUGGAUUCUAAGAUUUGCCAUCCUACAGAAUUCGAUUUUUAUUUAUGCAGUCAUGCUGGAAUUCAGGUAAGUGCUUCAAAAUGCAGGUACUGUGGUAGAACUGUGUUUUUGCUGCUGUAUUUUAUUCAUGCAAAGCUGCAUUAUAAUAUGGUAUCUCACGAGCAUUUGUGUUUAUAUGGCUAACGUAUUAUUACUCUUGAUGAAAUUGAUUACUUAUAAAAUGACAGCAAAGGAAGAAACAUUGAGAAAUGCUUUAGUGGUGUUGUGUAUUUACUUAUUUAGAAGCAGAAAAGCAAGCGCCCAGAAUUCUCCAUUCUUGCUUCUUACAACAGAUGUUGAUACCUUCGAAUAGAACCCUUGAACAGAAGGCAUAGAAAGAGGCCAGUAAGGAUCAACUUCCUCAAUCAGACAUAAUCAGGCCAGUAUUUGAAGGAAAUUCGUACUCUUACCAAUGAGAAAUAGAUGAGAUUCGAGACUUAUGAGCAAAAUAUUUUUUGGAAGAGUAUGUGUAACUUUUGUUUUAGAUUAUAUGUUAUAUUGCAUUGAUAUAAAGUAUUGUAUUGAUAGUA